This 77-nucleotide transfer RNA is filed under the name Pseudomonadales bacterium. Its description in RNAcentral is "tRNA-Arg". It matches the Rfam family "tRNA". Rfam says of the family: Transfer RNA (tRNA) molecules are approximately 80 nucleotides in length. Lineage: Bacteria; Pseudomonadati; Pseudomonadota; Gammaproteobacteria; Pseudomonadales. RNAcentral also lists the same sequence under 3 other names. The record is from RNAcentral.
GCCCCGGUAGCUCAGCCGGAUAGAGCAUCCGCCUCCUAAGCGGGGGGUCGCAGGUUCGACUCCUGCUCGGGGCGCCA